UGGGGAGUGCACACUGAUUCACACAGUGGCCAGGAAAGCAGGUCCCAAGAUGUUCUUCAUUUCAGAACCGGCUCUCCAAAGAAAACACUGGGAGUGUGAGACAAUGCACGUGCUCUCAUACCCAUCACAAGAGUAGGAUUGGAAGAACAAGCUCCUCUGAAACCAGGAGCCUGUCAGAUGAAACAGAAGAUGGUUCAAAGUGGAACAAGAAGGACCAGUUUUAUGCACUUCGUAUGUUAAAUAAGAAAAGAUGAAACGAACAACAGAAGCAAAAAAGGAUUGCCAGACUCCUGUUCCUUCAGUGUGCAAAGCCAGCUCUGAGGUUGCUGCUGCCCAUCCCCUGCCAGCAGGGACAUUGUACAGCGCCUUUCCACUGCGUCAGUGAGGAAUUUGCAUUCAGGAGAAACAGGUGUAUCUUUCACUGGUUAAACUUUGCAGAAGUUAUGGACAUAAUUCAUGGUGAGAACACAGCUGACAAAAACAGCACAUGGAGCCAAGUGAAGAAAUAUGAUUUUCACCAUAGUAAUAAUUUCUAGGUGUUCUGGUAAACAUCUGGAAAGCUGUAGUUGGGAUGUAAAGAUUUUGCCUGUAUUUUUUAAAGUCACGCUUCUUUGAAUAUUUUGCCAAUUCUGCACAUUUUGCUAUUGAUCUAUAUGGACCAGUGGACUUGAAACAGACUUUUCCAUUGAGCUGCAUUCCCAGAACAACACCAAUACCAUUCAGGCGGGUUUGUGUCCAAAGGCUGGGCUCCUCUCCCUGCCCUCAG
Molecule: non-coding RNA, 766 nt
Organism: Cyanistes caeruleus (blue tit)
Lineage: Eukaryota; Metazoa; Chordata; Aves; Passeriformes; Paridae
Source: RefSeq, a predicted model, not a curated record